UGCUACUCAACUCUCAAGCCUGUGGCCUGUGGAAGGCAGAGCCAGCUGGUUCUCCCAAUAAUAUGACAGGAGUGCAUUAUUUUCCAUGUGGAGAUUCAGUGUACUGCGACAGCGGGUGGAAUUUUCUUGUCUGUUUUUCGACCAUAUUAGUCUAGUCAAAGAUUACUCUGUAUGGUCUGUAUCCUCUCAGGCCUUUGGAAGUGAGAAGCUUCCGCAGAGAAAAGCACUCCAUCGAUUUGGGAAAUACAAGUCAAUUUUCGGCGCGACGCCGGUGGAGGCAGUGCAUCCUAUUCAACACUGAUAUGGAUUUACUGCCUCAAGGAGUGCAGGUCCACUCAAAACUCUCUGGUCUGGUGGAGCAUGGCACUGCCGCACCGGUGACUGAAGUGAUGCGUGGCACAUCCAUAUUGCCAGGUUUUGUUUUGAUUGUAGAACUCCUGUAAUUUGGUUGAUUACCUCACUGGAACUUUUUACACCACACUAGGAAAAACGUGAAACUGUGGACAGAAAAAAGAGCACAAGACAUGCAGAAUGUAUGCUUUCAUGUAGUAUUUUUUUUUUUAAAUGGAUAGCUCAUUUUUUGUAAGAUGUUUGGACAAAAGUAAACUUCAUGACUCGUUCUUCUGUU
Long non-coding RNA from Triticum dicoccoides, 628 nucleotides. RefSeq lists it as uncharacterized. The transcript has 2 exons. NCBI's taxonomy places the organism in Eukaryota, Viridiplantae, Streptophyta, Magnoliopsida, Poales, Poaceae. The record is from RefSeq and is a predicted model, not a curated record.